Molecule: ribosomal RNA, 253 nt
Filed under: uncultured bacterium
Lineage: Bacteria
Description: partial 16S ribosomal RNA
Rfam family: Bacterial small subunit ribosomal RNA
Source: RNAcentral
UACGUAGGGUGCGAGCGUUGUCCGGAAUUAUUGGGCGUAAAGAGCUCGUAGGCGGUCUGUCGCGUCUGCUGUGAAAACCCGAGGCUCAACCUCGGGCCUGCAGUGGGUACGGGCAGACUAGAGUGCGGUAGGGGAGAAUGGAAUUCCCGGUGUAGCGGUGAAAUGCGCAGAUAUCGGGAGGAACACCGGUGGCGAAGGCGGUUCUCUGGGCCUUACCUGACGCUGAGGAGCGAAAGCGUGGGGAGCGAACAGG